RNAcentral lists this ribosomal RNA (274 nucleotides) under uncultured bacterium. RNAcentral's name for it is "partial 16S ribosomal RNA". It matches the Rfam family "Bacterial small subunit ribosomal RNA", at positions 523 to 796 of the family's 1533-position model. The record is from RNAcentral.
AUACGUAGGAACCGAGCGUUGUCCGGAUUUACUGGGCGUAAAGAGUGCGUAGGCGGCUUGUUAAGUCUCAUGUGAAAUCUCCCGGCUCAACUGGGAGGGGCCAUGGGAUACUGGCUGGCUUGAGGGCAGUAGAGGAAAGCGGAAUUCCCGGAGUAGUGGUGAAAUGCGUAGAUACCGGGAGGAACACCAGUGGCGAAGGCGGCUUUCUGGACUGUACCUGACGCUGAGGCACGAAAGCGUGGGGAGCAAACCGGAUUAGAAACCCCUGUAGUCC